GGCUCAGGACGAACGCUGGCGGCGUGCCUAAUACAUGCAAGUCGAACGGUCUUUUCUAUGGAAGCUUGCUUCCACUGAGAAGAUAGUGGCGAACGGGUGAGUAACACGUGGGUAACCUGCCCAUAAGAGGGGGAUAACAUCCGGAAACGGGUGCUAAUACCGCAUAGUUUUCUUGAUCGCAUGAUCGGGAAAGGAAAGACGGCCUUUGUGCUGUCGCUUAUGGAUGGACCCGCGGCGUAUUAGUUAGUUGGUGAGGUAACGGCUCACCAAGACGAUGAUACGUAGCCGACCUGAGGGGUGAUCGGCCACAUUGGGACUGAGACACGGCCCAAACUCCUACGGGAGGCAGCAGUAGGGAAUCUUCCGCAAUGGACGAAAGUCUGACGGAGCAACGCCGCGUGAGUGAAGAAAGGUUUUCGGAUCGUAAAACUCUGUUGUCAGAGAAGAACAAGUUGGAGAGUAACUGCUCCAGCCUUGACGGUAUCUGACCAGAAAGCCACGGCUAACUACGUGCCAGCAGCCGC
RNAcentral lists this ribosomal RNA (524 nucleotides) under uncultured bacterium. RNAcentral describes it as "bacterial SSU rRNA". It matches the Rfam family "Bacterial small subunit ribosomal RNA", at positions 21 to 518 of the family's 1533-position model. The record is from RNAcentral.